AGAGUUUGAUCAUGGCUCAGAAUCAACGCUGGCGGCGUGCCUCAGACAUGCAAGUCGAACGAUUAAGACUUCCUUCGGGAAGUGCAUAAAGUGGCGCACGGGUGAGUAACACGUAAGUAAUCUACCUUCGAGUGGGGAAUAACGUCCGGAAACGGACGCUAAUACCGCAUAAUGCAGCGGCAUCGAAAGAUGACAGUUGUUAAAGGAGCAAUUCGCUUGAAGAGGAGCUUGCGGCAGAUUAGCUAGUUGGUAAGGUAAUGGCUUACCAAGGCUACGAUCUGUAACCGGUCUAAGAGGACGGUCGGUCACACUGACACUGAAUAACGGGUCAGACUCCUACGGGAGGCAGCAGUCGGGAAUUUUGGGCAAUGGGCGAAAGCCUGACCCAGCAACGCCGCGUGAAGGAUGAAGUAUUUCGGUAUGUAAACUUCGAAAGAAUAGGAAGAAUUAAUGACGGUACUAUUUAUAAGGUCCGGCUAACUACGUGCCAGCAGCCGCGGUAAUACGUAGGGACCAAGCGUUGUUCGGAUUUACUGGGCGUAAAGGGCGCGUAGGCGGCAUGACAAGUCACUUGUGAAAUCUCCGGGCUUAACUCGGAACGGUCAAGUGAUACUGUCGCGCUAGAGUGCGGAAGGGGCAAUCAGAAUUCUUGGUGUAGCGGUGAAAUGCAGAUAUCAAGAGGAAUACCUGAGGUGAAGACGGGUUGCUAGGCCGACACUGNNNCUGAAGCGCGAAAGCCAGGGGAGCAAACGGGAUUAGAUACCCUAGUAGUCC
RNAcentral lists this ribosomal RNA (774 nucleotides) under uncultured bacterium. RNAcentral describes it as "bacterial SSU rRNA". It matches the Rfam family "Bacterial small subunit ribosomal RNA", at positions 8 to 796 of the family's 1533-position model. The record is from RNAcentral.